GGAGUCUAAUAAGGACAACUUUUUCAACUUCUCCUUGAGUGAGGCAACAGAUUGCGAUUUCCUUACGUCCACUGGUAGAUCGUUCCACAGCUUAACUGAGUAGGCAGUGAAAGACCUACAGUACGCACGCGACUUUUUCGGCGGAAUGGCUAAAGUCAGAUUGGCAAUAGAUCGCAGACGGUGACCGCAAACAGUAGCCAGAAAUCUAAUUCCUUCUGAUAGAUACGUAGGGGAUGCGGGAUUAAAUAACACGUUAAAGAGUAAUGACAGAACAUGCACAUCCCUACGAUCGGCGGCCAGCCAAGCUGCGAGCGGAAGGCAGACACGCGAUCGUACUUACGUAACCCAAAUAUAUAUAUCUAAUGCAGACAUUUUGCAAGCGCUCUAGCCUGUCAAGCAGUUCCUCCCUUAGGUCCACAAAAGCAAUGUCCCCAUAAUCGAGGAGUGGCAGUAAGAGAGAGCGAGCAAGACAGAUUUUAGUAGAAAGAGGAAGAAAGUUUUGCAGUUGCCUCAAAGAGUGCAGCGAAGCAAAUAGCUUCCUACUGACCUCCGAUAUAUGCGGCGUCCAUUGAGAGUGUCUGGUCUAGGAUGACACCCAAGUUCUUGACAGUAGAGGAAAGUGGAAUCAAAGUCCCGUCAUAGAUAACAUCGGGUAACACCAUAUCCGCUAGUUUGGAGACAAAAUGAGGACUGCCAAUUACAAUUGCUUGCGAUUUUUUAGCGUUCACUUGUAACCCGAAAUUCAAAACCCAGUUGCAAAUAGCUCUUAGGUCGCAAUUAAUCUUACUGAAAAGAGAAGGAAGUUCGUCAAUGUUAGCCGCCACGUAAAUCUGCAAAUCGUCUGCGUACAGAUGUAAUGCCGUCAAUAAAGAUGGAAAAAGGCAGAGGAGAGAGCACACCACCCCGGGGGACACCAGCGGUAAGGUCACACCACCCGGAGACCUUGUCGUCGACCCUUACUCGCUGGCGCCUACCAAAGAGGUGGCUUCGAAACCAAGCGAGAGCAGAUUGAGAAAGGUUAAGCGUAUUAAGUAUACCUAGGAGAAUAUCAAAAUCUACAUUAUUGAAGGCACUACUAAAGUCCAAGAGCACAAGGAGAGUGAGCUUCCCACCCUCGAUAUUAAGACGAACGUCAUCGGUUACCUUAACCAAUGUCGUGACAGUGCUAUGCCCGGGGCGGAAACCAGAUUGGAGAGGAUUGACCAUACUAUGUCUGUUGAGAUGUGAUGAAAGGCGACGAUUUACGAAGUGUUCAAUUAUUUUUGAUAAAACUGGAAGGAUGGAAAUGGGCCGAUAUUGGGAAUAAGAGAUUGGACUAGAAGUUUUGGGAAGUGGGAUUACAUGGGCGUGUUUCCAUAUAGACGGGAAGG
Long non-coding RNA from Cydia splendana, 1370 nucleotides. RefSeq lists it as uncharacterized. NCBI's taxonomy places the organism in Eukaryota, Metazoa, Arthropoda, Insecta, Lepidoptera, Tortricidae. The transcript has 2 exons. The record is from RefSeq and is a predicted model, not a curated record.